AGUUUGAUCAUGGCUCAGAACGAACGCUGGCGGCAUGCCUAACACAUGCAAGUCGAACGAGACCUUCGGGGUCUAGUGGCGCACGGGUGCGUAACGCGUGGGAAUCUGCCCUUGGGUUCGGAAUAACAGUUAGAAAUGACUGCUAAUACCGGAUAAUGUCUUCGGACCAAAGAUUUAUCGCCCAGGGAUGAGCCCGCGUAGGAUUAGCUAGUUGGUGAGGUAAAGGCUCACCAAGGCGACGAUCCUUAGCUGGUCUGAGAGGAUGAUCAGCCACACUGGGACUGAGACACGGCCCAGACUCCUACGGGAGGCAGCAGUGGGGAAUAUUGGACAAUGGGCGAAAGCCUGAUCCAGCAAUGCCGCGUGAGUGAUGAAGGCCUUAGGGUUGUAAAGCUCUUUUACCCGGGAUGAUAAUGACUGUACCGGAAGAAUAAGCCCCGGCUAACUUCGUG
This 452-nucleotide ribosomal RNA is filed under the name uncultured bacterium. RNAcentral's name for it is "bacterial SSU rRNA". It matches the Rfam family "Bacterial small subunit ribosomal RNA", at positions 10 to 507 of the family's 1533-position model. The record is from RNAcentral.